UACGUAGGGGGCAAGCGUUAUCCGGAUUUACUGGGUGUAAAGGGAGCGUAGACGGCAAUACAAGUCGGAAGUGAAAUACCCGGGCUCAACCCGGGAACUGCUUUGGAAACUGUAUGGCUGGAGUGCUGGAGAGGUAAGCGGAAUUCCUAGUGUAGCGGUGAAAUGCGUAGAUAUUAGGAGGAACACCAGUGGCGAAGGCGGCUUACUGGACAGUAACUGACGUUGAGGCUCGAAAGCGUGGGGAUCGAACAGG
This 253-nucleotide ribosomal RNA is filed under the name uncultured bacterium. RNAcentral describes it as "partial 16S ribosomal RNA". It matches the Rfam family "Bacterial small subunit ribosomal RNA", at positions 524 to 776 of the family's 1533-position model. The record is from RNAcentral.